This 468-nucleotide ribosomal RNA is filed under the name uncultured bacterium. Its description in RNAcentral is "partial 16S ribosomal RNA". It matches the Rfam family "Bacterial small subunit ribosomal RNA", at positions 28 to 507 of the family's 1533-position model. The record is from RNAcentral.
GACGAACGCUGGCGGCGUGCUUAACACAUGCAAGUCGAACGGAGAGGCCCGGCUUUUGUUGUUUCCGGAAGUGUCGAACGGGGGAGUAACACGUGAGUGUCCUGCCCUUGGCUUUGGGGGAACUUCAUUAAACUGGGUCGCUUACCGGGAAUAAACGCCGGUGUCGUGUGGUGGCUUGGAAAAUGUUGGCGUUGCGGCAUGGCCUUGCGGCUUAGCGUCUUAUUGGUGGGGUAGUGGAGUACCAAGGCUCUGACGGGUAGCCGGCCUGAGAGGGUGACCGGCCACAUUGGGACUGAGGUACGGCCCAGACUACUACGGGAGGCAGCAGUGGGAAAUAUAGCACACUGGGCGGAGGCAUGAUGCAGGAACUCCGCGUGCGGGAUGACGGUUUUAGGAUUGUAAACCGCUUUCGCCUGUGAAGAAGCGUGAGUGACGGUAAUGGGUAAAGAAGCAACGGCUAACUACGUG